This 253-nucleotide ribosomal RNA is filed under the name uncultured bacterium. RNAcentral's name for it is "partial 16S ribosomal RNA". It matches the Rfam family "Bacterial small subunit ribosomal RNA", at positions 524 to 776 of the family's 1533-position model. The record is from RNAcentral.
GACGAACCGUGCAAACGUUAUUCGGAAUCACUGGGCUUAAAGGGCGCGUAGGCGGGCAGGCAAGUCAGGGGUGAAAGCCCACGGCUCAACCGUGGAAGCGCCUUUGAUACGGCCGGUCUCGAGGGAGGUAGGGGCGUGCGGAACUUCCGGUGGAGCGGCGAAAUGCGUAGAUAUCGGAAGGAACACCGGUGGCGAAAGCGGCGCGCUGGACCUCUUCUGACGCUGAGGCGCGAAAGCCAGGGGAGCAAACGGG